This is a long non-coding RNA of Paramormyrops kingsleyae, 779 nucleotides long. RefSeq lists it as uncharacterized. The record is from RefSeq and is a predicted model, not a curated record. Lineage: Eukaryota; Metazoa; Chordata; Actinopteri; Osteoglossiformes; Mormyridae.
GAAUCUCUAACUGCCGGUGACAGCCAGGCUUUUGACACGCUGCCAGAAAGACACAACAUGUCUAUUUGGAAACCAGCCUACCAUGAACAACCCUUGUAAUGUUUUAAAGAUGCAAAGCAACUUUCUCAGGGUGAAACCGACAAGUUACUUCAGAAACGGGCUGCCUGCCGCGUUGAUGGGGUGGGCGUAGAGACUCAGUGGGUAGCACUGUUGCCCUGCAACUCCACCUUUACUCUUUGAGUCCUGCCUCUGCUCUCUGUGAAUGUGUGGAUUUUGUAAGAUCUCCCUGUAUUGUGUGCGAUGCAUCCAGAUACUCAAGUUUCUUCCUGUAUUCUGAAGGUGUCUCUAAAUUGGAAGUGUCCUGCAAUGGAUUGAUGUCCCAUCCAGGAUAUAAUCCUGUCUUGUGUCCUAUAAUUGCCAGGACGGGAUCCAGGUUUCUGCAACCCUAUACUAGAAACACGGGACUCUGGAGCAGGCCACCGAAUGACAAAUGGAGAAGCGGACAAGGCUCUGCGAGGGAGACAGGUCGAUAGGCUGCCGGCGUACAUGGUCCCGCACCACGUGUAUUUGCUGGGCAGGGAGCUUGGCCAUCGUCCAGGCACAUCUCCAGCUAUGGGACUCAUUUCCGUCACCUUUCCAUGCUCAGAGUGACGAUGCCUUGCUGGGCCUCUUGCUGACUCUGCCUGGAAGAAGCAGACCAAUGCAGGGUGCAGAUGGGCUGUCCGGCUUACAUCACCGACUGGAACGAUACCGAGAAUCCAGCGGCAACAUUCCCAACU